GAUGAACGCUGGCGGCGUGCCUAAUACAUGCAAGUCGAGCGAACGGACGAGAAGCUUGCUUCUCUGAUGUUAGCGGCGGACGGGUGAGUAACACGUGGAUAACCUACCUAUAAGACUGGGAUAACUUCGGGAAACCGGAGCUAAUACCGGAUAAUAUUUUGAACCGCAUGGUUCAAAAGUGAAAGACGGUCUUGCUGUCACUUAUAGAUGGAUCCGCGCUGCAUUAGCUAGUUGGUAAGGUAACGGCUUACCAAGGCAACGAUGCAUAGCCGACCUGAGAGGGUGAUCGGCCACACUGGACCUGAGACACGGUCCAGACUCCUACGGGAGGCAGCAGUAGGGAAUCUUCCGCAAUGGGCGAAAGCCUGACGGAGCAACGCCGCGUGAGUGAUGAAGGUCUUCGGAUCGUAAAACUCUGUUAUUAGGGAAGAACAUAUGUGUAAGUAACUGUGCACAUCUGGACGGUACCUAAUCAGAAAGCCACGGCUAACUACGU
This 496-nucleotide ribosomal RNA is filed under the name uncultured bacterium. RNAcentral's name for it is "partial 16S ribosomal RNA". It matches the Rfam family "Bacterial small subunit ribosomal RNA", at positions 28 to 506 of the family's 1533-position model. The record is from RNAcentral.